RNAcentral lists this ribosomal RNA (195 nucleotides) under Bacillus subtilis. Its description in RNAcentral is "partial 16S ribosomal RNA". It matches the Rfam family "Bacterial small subunit ribosomal RNA", at positions 67 to 252 of the family's 1533-position model. The record is from RNAcentral. Lineage: Bacteria; Bacillati; Bacillota; Bacilli; Caryophanales; Bacillaceae.
AAUGGAUAAGAGCUUGCUCUUAUGAAGUUAUUCGGCGGACGGGUGAGUAACACGUGGGUAACCUGCCCAUAAGACUGGGAUAACUCCGGGAAACCGGGGCUAAUACCGGAUAACAUUUUGAACCGCAUGGUUCGAAAUUGAAAGGCGGNUUCNGCUGUCACUUAUGGAUGGACCCGCGUCGCAUUAGCUAGUUGG